This 287-nucleotide long non-coding RNA is filed under the name Lathyrus oleraceus (garden pea). RNAcentral's name for it is "Pisum sativum (pea) long non-coding RNA (PSAT_LNC033289)". Lineage: Eukaryota; Viridiplantae; Streptophyta; Magnoliopsida; Fabales; Fabaceae. The record is from RNAcentral.
UUUGAUUAUGUAGUUCAUUUCGUCAGCCAGGUCACAAAAUCGCACUAACUGUCCUAGUGUUGGAACAAGCAAAAUAAGAUAAUUUUAUAUGUACCUCUUUUGCUUUAUAUUAAAAACAAAAUUGAUUUCAUAUGCUAACUUUGUGAGGAAAUACCAUCACAAACAAAUACAACACAUUCAACACAUAAGCAACAACACAAACAACUACAACAAUUAAAAUAACAUUAAUAUAGCUAAGCGAUUACAACCAUCAAAACAAUUUUGAACAUAUUAUGCAUCAUCCUGCG